RNAcentral lists this ribosomal RNA (253 nucleotides) under uncultured bacterium. Its description in RNAcentral is "partial 16S ribosomal RNA". It matches the Rfam family "Bacterial small subunit ribosomal RNA", at positions 524 to 776 of the family's 1533-position model. The record is from RNAcentral.
UACGGAGGGAGCUAGCGUUGUUCGGAAUCACUGGGCGUAAAGCGCACGUAGGCGGCUAUUCAAGUCGGGGGUGAAAGCCCGGGGCUCAACCCCGGAACUGCCCUCGAAACUAGAUAGCUAGAAUCUUGGAGAGGCGAGUGGAAUUCCGAGUGUAGAGGUGAAAUUCGUAGAUAUUCGGAAGAACACCAGUGGCGAAGGCGACUCGCUGGACAAGUAUUGACGCUGAGGUGCGAAAGCGUGGGGAGCAAACAGG